AGCAGCAGCAACAACAACAACAUCAAAACCAAAUCUUUGAGGCUCAGCAAUUUGCUGCUGCUUUGGCAGCAAGAGAGCAUCAAGAUAUGUUUAGGGCUUAUGAGCAACAGCAAGAGAUUGUGAGGUUUAACAGGGGUUUCGAUAUCUCGGAUACAGUUACUACCACCGGAUUUAAUCAGAUUACUGUUGCUGCAAUGUCACCUUCUCUGGCUCUAGGCAGCUUUGAUACUUCUUACCAGGUUCAACCACAGCAAGUGGAUCACCACCAACAUCACCAGCUCCAGGCUCAGCUUUUUCUUCAGCCACAACAGGCACAGCCUCAGCCCCAUGAACAACAACAAACUCAACAGCAGCAUCAACCAUCAGGAAGUGAUGAGGGUGGAAGCAUAGGCCCAUCUUGUUGAUUUUUUUUCCUUUUACAGCUCUUAUGCGCUAAUUCUAAUUCCUUGAUGCAAUUUCCCAUUCGAGCUAGGUACGUAUUCUUUACUCUUUUGUCAUUAUUUUAUUUUUUCGAGUGGUGGUGGUGGGUGUUUGUGUGCCCGUGCACAUGAUGGUCUCAGAUCACUGGAACUGGAACAGCUUCGCAUUUAUGACUGCUUUCUGUGCUUUUAUUUGCAAUCUGGUUUGAUUUUUCACAAAUGGAGCAAUACCAUCUGGUGGGUAGUGGAAAAACAAUAUUACUCUUUAUUGCAUAGAGCAGAAAGGGUUGGUAAAGAGAAUUAUUGUCUUUUCACUGCAAGGGACAUACCCCCCCCUUCCCCUGGCCUUCAUCAUCAAUUAUACCUAGAACCUAGAGUUACUUGCAUACCAGUCUACCAGAUAGUAGAUAUUCCUUUCCUCCUCCUGAUCUGGUGGCUUGCAUGGCUACUUUUGUGAACAAAUCAAAAAUGGAUUGAUAUAGUUAAUGCCAUGA
RNAcentral lists this unclassified non-coding RNA (913 nucleotides) under Hevea brasiliensis (rubber tree). Lineage: Eukaryota; Viridiplantae; Streptophyta; Magnoliopsida; Malpighiales; Euphorbiaceae. The record is from RNAcentral.